Molecule: transfer RNA, 72 nt
Filed under: Salmo salar (Atlantic salmon)
Lineage: Eukaryota; Metazoa; Chordata; Actinopteri; Salmoniformes; Salmonidae
Rfam family: tRNA
About the family: Transfer RNA (tRNA) molecules are approximately 80 nucleotides in length. Their secondary structure includes four short double-helical elements and three loops (D, anti-codon, and T loops).
Source: Rfam by way of RNAcentral
UCCCGUGUGGCUCAGUUGGUAGAGCAUGGUGUUUGCAACGCCAGGGUUGUGGGUUCGAUUCCAAAGUGGGAC